This 426-nucleotide ribosomal RNA is filed under the name uncultured Sphingobacteriales bacterium. RNAcentral's name for it is "bacterial SSU rRNA". It matches the Rfam family "Bacterial small subunit ribosomal RNA", at positions 948 to 1382 of the family's 1533-position model. Lineage: Bacteria; Pseudomonadati; Bacteroidota; Sphingobacteriia; Sphingobacteriales. The record is from RNAcentral.
AAUUCGAUGAUACGCGAGGAACCUUACCUGGGCUUAAAUGGGAGUGACAGCUGCGAAAGAUGGUUUCUUCGGACACUCUUCAAGGUGCUGCAUGGUUGUCGUCAGCUCGUGCCGUGAGGUGUCGGGUUAAGUCCCAUAACGAGCGCAACCCUUACCGUUAGUUACCAUCAGGUUAAGCUGGGGACUCUAGCGGGACUGCACCGUAAGGUGAGAGAAGUGGGGAUGACGUCAAAUCAGCACGGCCCUUAUGUCCAGGGCUACACACGUGUUACAAUGGCCAGUACAAAGGGCAGCUACCGGGUGACCGGAUGCUAAUCUCUAAAGCUGGUCUCAGUUCGGAUCGAAGUCUGCAACCCGACUUCGUGAAGCUGGAUUCGCUAGUAAUCGCGCAUCAGCCAUGGCGCGGUGAAUACGUUCCCGGGCCUU